CUUGGUCAUAGGAAGUAAAAGUCGUAACAAGGUUUCCGUAGGUGAACCUGCGGAAGGAUCAUUAUCAUUACGUAGGGGCCUGCGUUCCGGUGCGGGCCCCCUCGUGUAAACCCAUCCGUGUACCUUUCCCGUUGCCUCCGUGGGUGCCGUCGGCUCCCGCGGGGGGUCAUAGAGAAAACUAUUUUUUUGCUUCUUCAUGCCAUCAUGUCUGAACGUAACCGAAUGAAAUAAAGAUUAAAACUUUCAACAACGGAUCUCUUGGUUCUC
RNAcentral lists this unclassified non-coding RNA (267 nucleotides) under fungal sp. RNAcentral describes it as "partial internal transcribed spacer region". The stretch from base 1 to 64 matches the Rfam family "Eukaryotic small subunit ribosomal RNA", at positions 1768 to 1831 of the family's 1831-position model. Lineage: Eukaryota; Fungi. The record is from RNAcentral.